Molecule: ribosomal RNA, 399 nt
Filed under: Scinax ruber (red snouted treefrog)
Lineage: Eukaryota; Metazoa; Chordata; Amphibia; Anura; Hylidae
Description: partial 16S ribosomal RNA
Rfam family: Bacterial large subunit ribosomal RNA
Source: RNAcentral
UAAGAGGUCCAGCCUGCCCAGUGACUAAUGUUCAACGGCCGCGGUAUCCUAACCGUGCGAAGGUAGCGUAAUCACUUGUUCUUUAAAUGAGGACUAGUAUGAACGGCACCACGAGGGUUAUACUGUCUCCUCUCUCUAAUCAGUGAAACUAAUCUCCCCGUGAAGAAGCGGGGAUAAAACUAUAAGACGAGAAGACCCUAUGGAGCUUUAAACUUAUCCUCAAACGCCAAAAUCACAUAUCAAGUUUCAAACUUCACCACAUGAACUCUCACGCCAUGAGGACAAUUUUAGGUUGGGGUGACCAUGGAGUAUAGAAUAACCUCCAUGCUGAAUAGGCCUCCAAGCCUUGAGCCAAGGGCUACGACCCAUCGCACUAAAAUAUUAACAUCCAUUGAUCCA